AGUGAACGCUGGCGGUAGGCCUAACACAUGCAAGUCGAACGGCAGCACAGUAAGAGCUUGCUCUUACAGGUGGCGAGUGGCGGACAGGUGAGGAAUACAUCGGAAUCUACUUUUUCGUGGGGGAUAACGUAGGGAAACUUACGCUAAUACCGCAUACGACCUACGGGUGAAAGCAGGGGAUCUUCGGACCUUGCGCGAUUGAAUGAGCCGAUGUCGGAUUAGCUAGUUGGCGGGGUAAAGGCCCACCAAGGCGACGAUCCGUAGCUGGUCUGAGAGGAUGAUCAGCCACACUGGAACUGAGACACGGUCCAGACUCCUACGGGAGGCAGCAGUGGGGAAUAUUGGACAAUGGGCGCAAGCCUGAUCCAGCCAUACCGCGUGGGUGAAGAAGGCCUUCGGGUUGUAAAGCCCUUUUGUUGGGAAAGAAAAGCAGCAGGUUAAUACCCCGCUGUUCUGACGGUACCCAAAGAAUAAGCACCGGCUAACUUCGUG
Molecule: ribosomal RNA, 492 nt
Filed under: uncultured bacterium
Lineage: Bacteria
Description: partial 16S ribosomal RNA
Rfam family: Bacterial small subunit ribosomal RNA
Source: RNAcentral